This 253-nucleotide ribosomal RNA is filed under the name uncultured bacterium. RNAcentral's name for it is "partial 16S ribosomal RNA". It matches the Rfam family "Bacterial small subunit ribosomal RNA", at positions 524 to 776 of the family's 1533-position model. The record is from RNAcentral.
UACGAAGGGGGCUAGCGUUGCUCGGAAUCACUGGGCGUAAAGCGCACGUAGGCGGACUCUUAAGUCGGUGGUGAAAUCCUGGAGCUCAACUCCAGAACUGCCUUCGAUACUGAGAGUCUCGAGUCCGGGAGAGGUGAGUGGAACUGCGAGUGUAGAGGUGAAAUUCGUAGAUAUUCGCAAGGACACCAGUGGCGAAGGCGGCUCACUGGCCCGGUACUGACGCUGAGGUGCGAAAGCGUGGGGAGCAAACAGG